CAUUUUUCUACAAAUGAGUGUUAAUUCCCAGUCAUAACAACAUUAACAAAUUAUUCCCAACGUCACAACGAUUGCGCAUUUACAUUAACUACUUAUAAUUACUGAAACCGGUGUCCUUGUUUGAAGUAAUAAAUAUUAUGCGAGGUAGUUAUUUUAUUACAAAUGUCUCUACUUUUAGAAAUCGGAAUCAAGAGUUUUCACAGUCUUGUGUCACUGUAGAAAUCUUCGUGCAACAAUGUAAAACUAUGUGAUGUGCAAUGACCAUGACGCUUGUAAUAAAUACCCAUUUGUUGAAAAAAGAAAUUGCAUUAUUCACAUAAAACAAUUGCUAGUGUACAGAAUCCGUAACUGUAUUUUUUUUAGUACCGUAAACACUAAGAAAGAGUUCACUUAUUUACUUCAUUACACUGUCUUAAAUGGUAUAGUUUAAAUUAUUUGAGAAAAUAAUACUUACCGGAGGUGGUUCUGAAGAAUAUAUUUCAGAUGGUGGAUACUCAGGUUUAAUAGUGAUAGUUGCCAUCGAAUCAGGUUGCGGUUCCUUCUCCAUUGUUUUAGGUAAUCACAGUACAAAACUAAUCCCUUUGUUAAAAUAUUAAAUAUUUAAAAUAAGAAUGCUCACUCCACUAGCAACUGAAAUCGACUGACAGGGAUAAUGGUAGUGGAUCUUUCCUGUCCAUCUCCCAGUCUGUUUGAUUCCCCACCUUUGAAACGCAAUGGAACUGGAAAGUAAAUGGUGGAAUAAAUCUAGAACAUGAGUUAAUCUGACGUGGUUAGCAUGGAUAUGGGAUAUGGGUUCAAAAUCAGCUGACUUUAAAUAUUACAAUGGCACACAUGCUCAAAAUAUUUGUUUAUAAAUAAACAGAAUAAAAAUUA
This is a long non-coding RNA of Tribolium castaneum (red flour beetle), 873 nucleotides long. RefSeq lists it as uncharacterized. The transcript has 2 exons. Lineage: Eukaryota; Metazoa; Arthropoda; Insecta; Coleoptera; Tenebrionidae. The record is from RefSeq and is a predicted model, not a curated record.